UGGCUCACCAUUAACGCUAGCGACAGGCUUAACACAUGCAAGUCGAGGGGCAGCGGGGGUGAUGGCUUGCCAUCGCCUGCCGGCGACCGGCGCACGGGUGAGUAACACGUAUGCAACCUGCCCGCCACAGGGGGAUAAGCGGAAGAAAUUCCGUCUAAUACCGCGUGACGCGGCGCCGGGGCAUCCCGGUGCCGCCAAAGGGAUUACCGGUGGCGGAUGGGCAUGCGGCGCAUUAGCUAGUCGGCGGGGUAACGGCCCACCGAGGCGACGAUGCGUAGGGGUUCUGAGAGGAAGGUCCCCCACACUGGUACUGAGACACGGACCAGACUCCUACGGGAGGCAGCAGUGAGGAAUAUUGGUCAAUGGGCGCGAGCCUGAACCAGCCAAGUCGCGUGAGGGAUGACGGUCCUACGGAUUGUAAACCUCUUUUGCCGGGGAGCAAGCGUGCGUUCGUGAACGCGCGUCGAGAGUACCCGGAGAAAAAGCAUCGGCUAACUCCGUGCCAGCAGCCGCGGUAAUACGGAGGAUGCGAGCGUUAUCCGGAUUUAUUGGGUUUAAAGGGUGCGUAGGCGGGAUGCCAAGUCAGCGGUAAAAAUGCGGUGCUCAACGCCGUCGAGCCGUUGAAACUGGCGUUCUUGAGUGGGCGAGAAGUAUGCGGAAUGCGUGGUGUAGCGGUGAAAUGCAUAGAUAUCACGCAGAACUCCGAUUGCGAAGGCAGCAUACCGGCGCCCUACUGACGCUGAGGCACGAAAGCGUGGGUAUCGAACAGGAUUAGAUACCCUGGUAGUCCACGCAGUAAACGAUGAAUGCUAGCUGUCCGGCUCGAAUGAGCGCUGGGCGGUACAGCGAAAGCGUUAAGCAUUCCACCUGGGGAGUACGCCGGCAACGGUGAAACUCAAAGGAAUUGACGGGGGCCCGCACAAGCGGAGGAACAUGUGGUUUAAUUCGAUGAUACGCGAGGAACCUUACCCGGGCUCAAACGCAGGAUGACGGGUCCCGAAAGGGGUCUUUCUUCGGACAUUCUGCGAGGUGCUGCAUGGUUGUCGUCAGCUCGUGCCGUGAGGUGUCGGCUUAAGUGCCAUAACGAGCGCAACCCCUGUCCACAGUUGCCAGCAGGUAAAGCUGGGGACUCUGUGGAGACUGCCGGCGCAAGCUGCGAGGAAGGCGGGGAUGACGUCAAAUCAGCACGGCCCUUACGUCCGGGGCGACACACGUGUUACAAUGGCAGGUACAGCGGGAUGCCACGGGGCGACCCGGCGCUGAACCCGAAAACCUGUCUCAGUUCGGAUUGGAGUCUGCAACCCGACUCCAUGAAGCUGGAUUCGCUAGUAAUCGCGCAUCAGCCACGGCGCGGUGAAUACGUUCCCGGGCCUUGUACACACCGCCCGUCAAGCCAUGGAAGCCGGGGGUACCUGAGUGCGUGACCGCGAGGAGCGCCCUAGGGUAAAACCGGUGACUGGGGCUAAGUCGUAACAAGGUAGCC
Molecule: ribosomal RNA, 1483 nt
Filed under: uncultured bacterium
Lineage: Bacteria
Description: 16S ribosomal RNA
Rfam family: Bacterial small subunit ribosomal RNA
Source: RNAcentral